Molecule: ribosomal RNA, 425 nt
Filed under: uncultured bacterium
Lineage: Bacteria
Description: bacterial SSU rRNA
Rfam family: Bacterial small subunit ribosomal RNA
Source: RNAcentral
GAGGAAUAUUGCGCAAUGGGGGCAACCCUGACGCAGCGACGCCGCGUGGAUGAUGAAGGCCUUCGGGUCGUAAAAUCCUGUCGGAUGGAAAGAAGUGCAUGCAUGCUAAUACCAUGUGUGUUUGACGGUACCAUCAAAGGAAGCACCGGCUAACUCCGUGCCAGCAGCCGCGGUAAUACGGAGGGUGCAAGCGUUGUUCGGAAUUAUUGGGCGUAAAGCGCGUGUAGGCGGUUUCUUAAGUCUGAUGUGAAAGCCCCGGGCUCAACCUGGGAAGUGCAUUGGAAACUGGGGACUUGAGUACGGGAGAGGGUAGUGGAAUUCCUAGUGUAGGAGUGAAAUCCGUAGAUAUUAGGAGGAACACCGGUGGCGAAGGCGGCUACCUGGACCGAUACUGACGCUGAGACGCGAAAGCGUGGGGAGCAAAC